RNAcentral lists this ribosomal RNA (745 nucleotides) under uncultured bacterium. Its description in RNAcentral is "bacterial SSU rRNA". It matches the Rfam family "Bacterial small subunit ribosomal RNA", at positions 33 to 773 of the family's 1533-position model. The record is from RNAcentral.
ACGCUGGCGGCAGGCCUAACACAUGCAAGUCGAGCGGUAGAGAGAAGCUUGCUUCUCUUGAGAGCGGCGGACGGGUGAGUAAUGCCUAGGAAUCUGCCUGGUAGUGGGGGAUAACGUUCGGAAACGGACGCUAAUACCGCAUACGUCCUACGGGAGAAAGCAGGGGACCUUCGGGCCUUGCGCUAUCAGAUGAGCCUAGGUCGGAUUAGCUAGUUGGUGAGGUAAUGGCUCACCAAGGCGACGAUCCGUAACUGGUCUGAGAGGAUGAUCAGUCACACUGGAACUGAGACACGGUCCAGACUCCUACGGGAGGCAGCAGUGGGGAAUAUUGGACAAUGGGCGAAAGCCUGAUCCAGCCAUGCCGCGUGUGUGGAGAAGGUCUUCGGAUUGUAAAGCACUUUAAGUUGGGAGGAAGGGUUGUAGAUUAAUACUUUGCAAUUUUGACGUUACCGACAGAAUAAGCACCGGCUAACUCUGUGCCAGCAGCCGCGGUAAUACAGAGGGUGCAAGCGUUAAUCGGAAUUACUGGGCGUAAAGCGCGCGUAGGUGGUUUGUUAAGUUGGAUGUGAAAUCCCCGGGCUCAACCUGGGAACUGCAUUCAAAACUGACUGACUAGAGUAUGGUAGAGGGUGGUGGAAUUUCCUGUGUAGCGGUGAAAUGCGUAGAUAUAGGAAGGAACACCAGUGGCGAAGGCGACCACCUGGACUAAUACUGACACUGAGGUGCGAAAGCGUGGGGAGCAAAC